GUUAAGUGACGAUAGCCUAGGAGAUACACCUGUUCCCAUGCCGAACACAGAAGUUAAGCCCUAGCACGCCUGAUGUAGUUGGGGGUUGCCCCCUGUUAGAUAUGGUAGUCGCUUAGC
Molecule: ribosomal RNA, 117 nt
Filed under: Streptococcus lutetiensis
Lineage: Bacteria; Bacillati; Bacillota; Bacilli; Lactobacillales; Streptococcaceae
Also listed under: 1 other name
Source: RNAcentral